Molecule: non-coding RNA, 113 nt
Organism: Sphagnurus paluster
Lineage: Eukaryota; Fungi; Basidiomycota; Agaricomycetes; Agaricales; Lyophyllaceae
Source: the annotation of a GenBank genome assembly
GGCGCUAUAGCCAAGUGGUUACGGCGACAGAUUCGAAUAUGUGCGGCUCCGUUACCAUGAUUAUUUCCAUCUGUUCCUCUUUGAGGGCGCAGGUUCAAAUCCUGCUGGCGUCG